AUUGAACGCUGGCGGCAGGCUUAACACAUGCAAGUCGAGCGGAGAGAGGUAGCUUGCCACUGAUCUUAGCGGCGGACGGGUGAGUAAUGCUUAGGAAUCUGCCUAUUAGUGGGGGACAACAUUUCGAAAGGAAUGCUAAUACCGCAUACGUCCUACGGGAGAAAGCAGGGGAUCUUCGGACCUUGCGCUAAUAGAUGAGCCUAAGUCGGAUUAGCUAGUUGGUGGGGUAAAGGCCUACCAAGGCGACGAUCUGUAGCGGGUCUGAGAGGAUGAUCCGCCACACUGGGACUGGGACACGGCCCAGACUCCUACGGGAGGCAGCAGUGGGGAAUAUUGGACAAUGGGCGCAAGCCUGAUCCAGCCAUGCCGCGUGUGUGAAGAAGGCCUUAUGGUUGUAAAGCACUUUAAGCGAGGAGGAGGCUACUUUAGAUAAUACCUAGAGAUAGUGGACGUUACUCGCAGAAUAAGCACCGGCUAACUCUGUGCCAGCCGCCGCAGUAA
RNAcentral lists this ribosomal RNA (501 nucleotides) under uncultured bacterium. Its description in RNAcentral is "partial 16S ribosomal RNA". It matches the Rfam family "Bacterial small subunit ribosomal RNA", at positions 30 to 523 of the family's 1533-position model. The record is from RNAcentral.